UAAGGAAUAUUGGUCAAUGGACGCAAGUCUGAACCAGCCAUGCCGCGUGAAGGAUGAAGGUCCUCUGGAUUGUAAACUUCUUUUAUGGGGGACGAAACCUCUUAGUCGUAAGAGACUGACGGUACCCCGGGAAUAAGCACCGGCUAACUCCGUGCCAGCAGCCGCGGUAAUACGGAGGGUGCAAGCGUUAUCCGGAUUCACUGGGUUUAAAGGUGCGUAGGAGGGCAGGUAAGUCAGUGGUGAAAUCCUAGGGCUUAACCCUAGAACUGCCGUUGAUACUAUCUGUCUUGAAUGCCGUGGAGGUGAGCGGAAUAUGUCAUGUAGCGGUGAAAUGCUUAGAUAUGACAUAGAACACCGAUUGCGAAGGCAGCUCGCUACACGAACAUUGACUCUGAGGCACGAAAGCGUGGGGAUCAAACAGGAUUAGAUACCCUGGUAGUCCACGCCCUAAACGAUGGAUACUCGACAUUGGCGAUACACGGCCAGUGUCUGAGCGAAAGC
RNAcentral lists this ribosomal RNA (501 nucleotides) under uncultured bacterium. RNAcentral describes it as "bacterial SSU rRNA". It matches the Rfam family "Bacterial small subunit ribosomal RNA", at positions 355 to 858 of the family's 1533-position model. The record is from RNAcentral.